RNAcentral lists this ribosomal RNA (2781 nucleotides) under Triticum aestivum (bread wheat). Its description in RNAcentral is "partial small subunit ribosomal RNA". The record is from RNAcentral. Lineage: Eukaryota; Viridiplantae; Streptophyta; Magnoliopsida; Poales; Poaceae.
AUGGAUCGUUCGCCUGCCAAGUUCGUCUUGCUCCUCAUGGCAGCGGCGACCUGGAGCUUCUUCCUCGUCGCCGGCGCAGGCAAGCUCCAGCCGAGCUGCAUAGGGCGCGAGAGGGACGCCUUGCUAGUCUUCAAGCAAGGCAUCAAUGAUACCUACGACUACCUCGGGUCGUGGCAACAAGAGCGCCAAGAUUGCUGCCAAUGGGCAGGCAUCACCUGCAGCAACACAACCGGGCAUGUCAUCCAGCUUGACCUUGGCGGAAGGUACUAUUUGGUCGGCCAGAUAAGUCCUUCCUUGCUUUCUCUAGAGCAUCUCGAAUACCUUGAUCUCCACCACACUGGGUUGCGUGGCCCUGAUGGCCGUGUUCCAGAGUUCUUGGGUUUCUUAAAGAACCUGAGGCAUCUUGAUCUGUCUUACACGUCUUCCUCCGGUAUGGUGCCUCCUCAGCUAGGCAACCUGUCAGAGCUGGAAUACCUUGAUUUAUCCUACAUAUAUUUCAACAAUAUGAGUAUGGUCUCAACGGACAUCUCAUGGAUGGUCUCAACAGACAUCUCAUGGUUAACCCAUCUACCUCUGUUGGAGCAUCUUGAUAUGAGUUAUAUCAAUCUCAGCUCAAUAGCCGAUUGGCCUUUAGUUGUCAAUAAGAUUCCAUCUUUGGAGUUGCUCUAUCUUUCUGAGUGCUCGCUUUCAAGUGCAAACCAAUCCCUCACACACCUGAACCUCACAAAUCUUCAGUACCUUGAUCUCUCUGGUAACGACUUUGGCCAUCCAAUUGCCUCCGGUUGGUUUUGGAACUUAACAAGCCUCAAGUACCUCGGUCUUGCUAGUACCUCUCUGUAUGGUCCAUUUCCUGAUGCACUCGCAAAUAUGUCAUCCCUCCAACGGUUAGAAUCGAGCUACAUGGGUAACAAAGCCACAAUGACAGUAGAUUUGAAAAAUCUGUGUGAUUUGGAAUACCUAUCGAUUGGUGGAAGCCUCUCCUCUGGAAAGAUAACAGAGUUUCUAGAUAAAUUGCCUAGAUGUUCAUCGAACAGAUUACGGUACUUGAGCUUGAGCAGCAACAAUAUGGUUGGAAUUCUGCCAAACAGAAUGGGGCACUUGACCGACUUAUUUGUGUUCGACCUUUCUUCCAAUAACAUUACUGGGGGUAUACCGCUAGGCAUAAGGAAUCUCUCUUAUUUAGUAAGACUUGAUCUUUCUAACAACCUUCUUACUGGAGUUAUACCGCCCGGGUUGGGAAAUUACACUAGCUUACAGUAUCUUUCUCUUUCAAGCAACCAUCUUACUGGACCUAUGCUACCAGGGAUGGCGAGUUGCACUGCAUUAUGCUCUCUUGACCUUUCUGACAACAAUAUUACUGGAGUUAUACCUCCAUGGUUGGGGAACUGCACUAGUUUGUGGUACCUUUAUCUUUCUAAGAACCUUCUCACUGGACACGUCCCAUCUAAGAUCAGUCUGCUCGGUCAGUUGACCGAACUCGACCUUAGCAAUAAUAAUCUAGAUGGUAUGAUCACGGAGGAGCACCUAGUUACUCUAAAUAACUUAAAACACCUGGAUUUAUCACACAACUCUUUGUCAGGGCCUCUGCCGUUAGAGUUUGUAGCUAAAGGAUUAGUAGAAUUGACUUUAUCCUCCAAUUCUUUCACUGGGCAUAUUCCUGAUUCUAUUUGUAAAUUGAGGAACCUACUUGUCUUGGAUUUAUCAGGCAACCUUCUAGAUGGAGAACUUCCUCAGUGUUCUCAGAAGCCUAACUUGGUUUUCCUCCUCUUAAGCCAUAAUAAGUUUUCUGGAAAGUUCCCAUCAUCACUUAAGAACUACUCGAGUUUGGCAUUCGUGGAUCUUUCAGUGAAUAAUUUCUAUGGAACAUUGCCAUCGUGGAUCGGAGACUUGGUAUAUUUGCGGUUUUUGCAGCUAAGUCACAAUUUCUUGUGUGGAGAUAUUCCCGUGACCAUCACAAACCUUAAACACCUUCGUCAACUGAGUCUAGCAGGAAAUAGUAUAUCUGGUGUUAUACCUUGGUCUUUGUCAAAUUUAACAGCAAUGGCCCAGAAACAUUCAAAGAGACAUGAGGUCGACAUGUUUAAAUGGUACAGCGGCCAAGUGGGAAAAUUUAGAGAAGUUUUGCCUAUCGUUAUGAAGCACCAAGAACUUAAGUAUGGUACAAGAAUUUUUGAUGUGGUCAGUAUGGACCUGUCACUCAACCACCUAACAGGGGAAAUUCCAGAUGGAAUUACCUCUCUUAAUGGACUGUUAAAUCUGAACUUCUCAUGGAAUCAAUUGAGUGGAAAAAUUCCUGGGAAGAUUGGAGCUAUGAAAUCACUUGAAUCCCUGGACCUCUCAAGGAACAACCUUUCUAGUGAAAUCCCAACAAGCUUAUCAGGUUUGACUUAUUUAAGCUCCUUGGACUUGUCAUAUAACAAUCUUACAGGAAAAAUUCCACCCGGAAGCCAACUUGACACCCUCUACUUGGAGAACCAGUCCAUAUAUAAGGGCAACAUUGGUCUGUGUGGCCCUCCUCUUGAAAGGAAAUGCUCAAGAGACAAUUCACCAGAGCACAACAAUCAACAGAAAAUUCAGAAGGUUUCCGAGCCUGUGUUGUUCUUUUACUUUGGACUCGGGUCCGGGUUUGUGGCUGGCCUCUGGGUCGUGUUUUGCACCCUAUUGUUCAGGAAAGUGUGGAGAGUCGCCUAUUUCCACCUCUUUGACAAGUCGUAUGACAAGGCAUAUGUGUUUGUGGUUGUUACUUGGGGUAGGAUAACCAGCAAGGCGACAACAAGUUAA